AUCCCACACCCACCAGUCCAGACUUGGUUUUCUGAACCCCUGGCAAGCGAAGGGACCCAGCAGAUAAUGGGACAGCUACGUAGGCAAUGACUUUUAGAGGCGAAACAGGUUCAGAAGGCAUCUGAGCAACAUCUCCACUUUCCCAGCAAGCCUCUGAGCCUACCUCUAUGCUCAGAGGUCCUUCACCAGGCAGUAACAAUGGCAUUGCUGGUAGUGCAGGGGGUGAGGAACGAGCCCCUCAUGCUGUUGGGUUAUGCUCACUCAGCAGGCACUGGGUGCAGUCUGUUCUGCUGGCAUGGGAUGAGGACACCGGUCUGCCAAAGCACCUGAGCUCCACCCACAGAACUGACACCUGAAUCCUGUUAUUCCCCACAAACACACAGCUUUGGAGAAAGCUUCCAAGAAACAGCUGACCACAAGGAUGAAACUCGUGUGGGAGGAAGAGGGAGCAUGCUUGGCAGCUGGCCUCCAACGCAGGAAUCGCUGCCACAGGAGGACAGAGGAUAUUUUGUGGCAGCUCAUCUUAUCAUGCAUUUUUGUGCAGACCCUUCCAGUUUCUCAGUGAUGUUCUGUCUGCUUGAAUGGCUGUCCAUGUGUGCUUGGUCCAUGUCUCAGGUAAGGACUGCAACCAGCGUGCACCUGCUUUCCAGUGCUGCCUCCUGGGCUUCCCUGUUUGCAGGGAUCAAGGAUGCAGCGAAUCUGAGCAUGGCCAGCAAGAUGACUUCUCCAGCAGGAACCACAGACCUGAUCAUCAUUUUUCACUGCACACCCAUUGCUGUCAUACUGAAAAUAAGAUAAAAUUACUUAAAAUAAGAGAGCUGUCUGGUCUCACAUGUUCAUGGAGAAGGGAUCUUCAGAUAAAUGAACUAUUAAGACUGAACUUUGGCUGAAGAAAAACACUAGAGGCUGCCCAGCAGACCUUGAUGUAUUACAGGCCAUCUUAUUCCUGGCUUGGAGCUUGUCAGCCACCCUAUGGAGAGAUGCACAUAGCAAACAAGCUACCUGCAGUGGCCAUAAUCCUUCUGCAAAGAGCAACAUGGACCAUGUUGUGGGAGCAGAACAAAGGACAAAGUCAUCCUGCCGUGAAUUAUAUAUGGGAGGUAGAAGAAAAUGUCACCAAGUGGUUGCAAGCCAUGGGGGCUGCAUGUUCAUUUGAGUGUUUCAUUCUGCAAUGUUUAUUUGUAGUCUUGAUGCUUCUGAAGGCUGUGGAGCUGUUGAGGAAGGGGGAGAAGAAGGGAGGAAGGAAAUAGGGGAGUCAGGACAAUGAGGGAGGAGGGGAAGGGGAAGUUCAAGUGGACAAAUACUGAUGUCCAUAUCUGAGCCUGAUUCUCUUUCUAGGCAAAAAAAACAUACGUGACCAGUUUCAGAGGUCUCCCCGAUUGUAAAAAUAGCUUUCUGGCAGUGCCUUUACUUCUCCCAUGACUGCAACCUAUGGGACUGUCUGUGAUGAAGAGAUCUGCAUGGUUACAGGAAAAGAGCCCAGCCACAUCCACCCUAUUACCUUUCUGGUAGAAAAAAAACCAUGGUGGUUUUGCAUCUUUCAGGACAGCUGUGAGAUACAUGGCAGAAGGCAUAUGGGGAUCUUUGGGUUGUUCCUGGGUUGAAAUUGAACAAUUAGGCAAAAACAGAGUCCUGAUGCCUCAGAGCUGAGCUGAGCUUGGUUACCCAAAACAUCUUAAUGUGCAAGAGAACAGUGCUAUAUAUUGAAAUCUUCUGUGAGUGCUAUCUUCAUCUGCUCUCAGCAUUAGAGGGUUGUUAUUUAAUUUGCCUGUGAGUGAAACAGUCUAAUUUCCAUUAUGAUGAGCAUUUACAUGAACAUAAGAAACUUUUGAAAACUGGAGACUGCAGACCCCAAAGACUAAUUCCUGUGGUCCCGAGGCUAGAUGCUGUUUGUAACUGCAAAUCCAGAGAAUUCAUGAGGAUAGAUACUCUGACCUACUGAAUUUAUGGAGCCACCUUCUCUGCCUCCUGCUCCCUCCCUCUUGGCACAAGUGGGAGGAAGGGGUAUGCUGAGAGCGGGAUAAUCAGUGUGUGAGCUCAUAAGAGCUGUGCUCCACGCUGCCUGACACUUCACUUGCACAAGCUCCAGUAGGAUAAGGCUAAUUGUGGAAAAUAGAGGACUUCAGUACUCUUGACUUCUGCUGUGACUACGUGGUUCACAAGCAGAGGACAGUACAUACACAAGGGAACACUGAGGUUCACUGGAGAACAUGGUUUGCUGGAGUUGGUGGCGUCUCCUUGGAUUACUGCAGAAGUCUUUCUUCAUCCUCUUGUCAUUUUGUCUUCAGAUAUGCCACCCAACUGCUACCUCCUGUUGGCUCCAUAGAGCAUUUGAAGACUUCUCUUGAAAUCUUCUAUCUGCCUUCUGACAUGUUUCUGAGCAGCAUGCACAGAAAAGGAUCUGUGCCUUCCAGGACGUGAGACCUCAAAACAAGUUCCUGUUCCUGAGCGCAUUUUGAUACAGAUUCCAUUCUUUUGGAAGGCAGUGAAAUGAUUAAAAAAGGAGAAGGAAAUUGAUUCUGAAUUUUUCAUUAUAAGCAAAAAGUCUGUUAAUAUUUGUAUGAUGCUUGUUAAUAUUUAUAUGGUUUAAACUGCUGCGGCAGCUCAGCUUGUGAUGCAUUUUUGGAUUGUUUAGACAUGCUUUUACAGUUCAAGCCCCAGUUUCAUUUGGGAUGGUUUUGGAACCACGAGUGCCUGGGAGCCCUGUGGUGGCAAGAUGGCAAGCUCCCAUGGAGGAGGACUGCUGGUGCACAGGGACCAGCCGGGACCACGCUGCCCUUCAGGUAUAUGUCAUAAGUCAUGGCUUACAGUCUGUGUGCGGAAAGGCUCCAACUGCUUCUUGCUGCAGCUCUGGGAGUCAUCCUGCUAAAAACCAUGUGAAUGAAGAGCAGAAAAGGCAGCUUCACCCCAGAGAAGUCAUUGAAUGUCUGAUGGCCUAUGGAGCUGGUGGACCACACAGGCAUGAAGGUGAAAAGGAAAAAGAGAUAGAAGUGAGCCCUGACCACGAGGCCAUCAGGCACUCUCAUGGCACAUCAGACACCUGGCUGCCUGCCUUUGUGGUGGCUGAGAAUGAUGCAGAUACUCAUGGGCACUGAGGAGGAUGGUUUGGAUUAUAUGGUUUGUUUUUCAGACUUCUGGUAAAAAGGCUUGAAAAAGGCAGUAAGGAUGUUAACCUUCCAUGAGCAAGGGAGACUGUAAGGUUGUGCACAUGAUGUAUUGACACAGCAGAGAAAAAAAUUGCCAACAUUUUAAUAAAACAAGAAUAAAACAAGAAAUGGGCUAAUUACUAGUCAGGUGAGGUCAGACAUUUAGUUGUAGGAAAGGCAGAAGAUAUCAGUUCCAGGUAAGUAGUUACUGCCACAACUUGGUACAAAAUCACAGGCAGUAGGUUUGGGAUGGAUUUCAAGAAAUUGGUUAUUUCAUUCCUUUGCUCAAAGGCAUCACCAAUUUGUUUAUAUUUGGAGAUAUUUGUCCAACAAAUUGAGUAACUACAGUGAUAGGAUUAAUGCAACUUCUUAAAGUCUAUAGUAGUUAUUAGUGAUCCACCACGUUACAUUUUUUUUUCGGAAUUUCCUAUGCAGAAAUUCAUGAUGUCUCAUGUCCGCCUUCAGAUAAGUAGCAUCUAUUCUUCAACUAUUGCGGACAGAUCUCCAACCACAGACUAUCCAAAAUCUCAUGUUUUCCUUGAGCCCAAACCCUCUGGGCUUGUGGUGUCCAGAACUGGACACAAACUCAUAUAACCUGCCUGAUCCUUUUCCAGUGCCAAGCAGGGUGGGAGAACUACCUCAUAUGCCUUCGAGCAAUCCCUUCUGCCAGUAUCUCCAGUGAGGCUUGGGUUUUGGCAGAAAUACAGCAUGGUGACUCAUGGUUUGCUUUUGCUUUCCUGUAACCAUGCUUUCCUUUCAUUCUCUAUUUGUACUUUAUGUAAUUGGUUAUUCCUACUUACCUGUAACACUUUGUAAUUGUCCUUAUUUAAUCACAUUCUGAUCUUUUGCAAUCAGUAACCAGUUUCUGAAAAAUAAUUCUGGACUUUAAUCCUGUCUUUGACUGAACUUCCAGCUCUUUGCAACUGUUGUUAACUGCAGUUAAUUCAGAUACACACUUUAUAUCCAUAUAUCAAUGUAUCUGCAGUUCUCUAUGUGUAUGUAUGGAUAUUUACUCCAUCAUCAAGUGAUUCAGGAAGAUACUGAGUAGUACUAGACUGUAUUCAAUACCUUAUUUAUUUAUUUAUUUUUACAAUGAACCACUUAAAAUUCCUCUCUGUGUUUGGUCCUUCGUUUAGUUUUGCACUCACCCUGCAGCAUUUACAAUUUACCAUUUCUGAACUAGCAUACAAGAACGUCAAAUUAGCCAGUGUCAAAAGAUUUACUAACAUUAAGCUAUAUGUUAAGUAAUGUUAAGCUAUCUGACAGCAUUUGUGUGAUCUCCCUAUGUUCCUUCCCUCAUCUGCAAAACAUGUUUGCUUGUCAUUGCAGGAAAGGAGAUUGGUUUUGUGGGGUUUGAAGUUUACGUGUAUGUGUCUGGUGCUACCUACCAAUU
Molecule: non-coding RNA, 4539 nt
Organism: Anas platyrhynchos (mallard)
Lineage: Eukaryota; Metazoa; Chordata; Aves; Anseriformes; Anatidae
Source: RefSeq, a predicted model, not a curated record